GGCCGUGUGGCUCAAUGGCUGAGCAUCAGCCUGCGACUGAAGGGUCAUGGGUUCGAUUCCGGUCAAGGGCA
This 71-nucleotide transfer RNA is filed under the name Myotis davidii. It matches the Rfam family "tRNA". Rfam says of the family: Transfer RNA (tRNA) molecules are approximately 80 nucleotides in length. Their secondary structure includes four short double-helical elements and three loops (D, anti-codon, and T loops). Further hydrogen bonds mediate the characteristic L-shaped molecular structure. tRNAs have two regions of fundamental functional importance: the anti-codon, which is responsible for specific mRNA codon recognition, and the 3' end, to which the tRNAs corresponding amino acid is attached (by aminoacyl-tRNA synthetases). tRNAs cope with the degeneracy of the genetic code in two manners: having more than one tRNA (with a specific anti-codon) for a particular amino acid; and 'wobble' base-pairing, i.e. permitting non-standard base-pairing at the 3rd anti-codon position. The record is from Rfam by way of RNAcentral. Lineage: Eukaryota; Metazoa; Chordata; Mammalia; Chiroptera; Vespertilionidae.